RNAcentral lists this unclassified non-coding RNA (341 nucleotides) under soil metagenome. Its description in RNAcentral is "partial contains 5.8S ribosomal RNA, internal transcribed spacer 2, and large subunit ribosomal RNA". The stretch from base 1 to 120 matches the Rfam family "5.8S ribosomal RNA", at positions 35 to 154 of the family's 154-position model. The record is from RNAcentral.
GAUGAAGAACGCAGCGAAAUGCGAUAAGUAGUGUGAAUUGCAGAAUUCAGUGAAUCAUCGAAUCUUUGAACGCACAUUGCGCCCUUUUGUAUUCCAAAGGGCAUGCCUGUUCGAGCGUCAUUUGUACCCUCAAGCUUUGCUUGGUGUUGGGCGUCUUGUCUCUAGCUUUGCUGGAGACUCGCCUUAAAGUAAUUGGCAGCCGGCCUACUGGUUUCGGAGCGCAGCACAAGUCGCACUCUCUAUCAGCAAAGGUCUAGCAUCCAUUAAGCCUUUUUUUCAACUUUUGACCUCGGAUCAGGUAGGGAUACCCGCUGAACUUAAGCAUAUCAAUAAGCGGAGGA